RNAcentral lists this ribosomal RNA (479 nucleotides) under uncultured bacterium. RNAcentral's name for it is "bacterial SSU rRNA". It matches the Rfam family "Bacterial small subunit ribosomal RNA", at positions 26 to 518 of the family's 1533-position model. The record is from RNAcentral.
AGGACGAACGCUGGCGGCGUGCCUAACACAUGCAAGUCGAACGGACGAGAGGAGCUUGCUCCUCAAGUUAGUGGCGGACGGGUGAGUAACACGUGAGCAACCUGCCCUUCGGAGGGGGACAACAGCUGGAAACGGCUGCUAAUACCGCAUGACACAGCGGGGAGGCAUCUCCCUGCUGUCAAAGAUUUUAUCGCCGAAGGAUGGGCUCGCGUCUGAUUAGAUAGUUGGUGAGGUAACGGCCCACCAAGUCAACGAUCAGUAGCCGGACUGAGAGGUUGAACGGCCACAUUGGGACUGAGAUACGGCCCAGACUCCUACGGGAGGCAGCAGUGGGGAAUAUUGGGCAAUGGGGGCAAACCCCCUGACCCAGCAACGCCGCGUGAAGGAAGAAGGCUUUCGGGUUGUAAACUUCUUUGACGAGGGACGAUAGUGACGGUACCUCGAAAACAAGCCACGGCUAACUACGUGCCAGCAGCUGC